ACGUUUUCAAGUCAAACUUUUUGUUCUCCUCUGGGACCUGGCCAGUCACUGGGUGUCGAAAUGUGUUCCGUCUUUCAUUGUGGCUGCCCGCAGGAGGGGUGUGCAGGAACCAGGGCCCAGGAGCACCUCGUGUUCCAAAUGAUCCUUUUACCUCCUCCAAGCAGUGUGCAAGCUUCUGAGUAGAAAGAGGCAAGUGCCCCAACUCACCUGCCUCCUGAUGGGCGGGGCCAGAAGAGGCUCCACCCCAGACUAAGUGGCCAAAGAAGCCUUCCUGGAGCUAUGUAGCUGUAGGGUUUAACUUAGUAUUCAACUUGGGUGCCUGUUCCAUAUUCAUGCCCAUGCCGGGCAGUCACGAGAUGACCAAGGCACAGCUCCCCCCACCCCCACCCCCACCCCAUUUACCUCUUACCCCUUCACUUUCACUGAUCUUCAAGGACCACAGGGCCUGGGAUCCCCUCUGACUUAGCCAGAGCAAGAAGGCAGUGCGAAAGUGAGCUAGCAAGGCAAGAGACCCCACAAUGAAUCUCAGCAGCAGUCCUGACUCUUGAAACUCAAAUCCUGGUCCUGCCACUGGCUGCCUGGCCACGGGCAGACUACUGAAUGCCUCAGCCUCAGUCACAAGGUUACUGUGACCCUUUCCCUGGGUCCCCACCUCCUCCAGAAUGAAGGAAGCAUGCUUAAAGGAAAAGCACCUGGCUUCCAGCAGCAAAGACGCUCCAUAAAUGUAAGGUGUCAUUAUCAUAAAUGCAAGUUCCUGCCCUGCCUAGAAAGGGGGAGGCAGGUUUCUGUCGGGCUCUGUGAUCCCUCCACCAAACAUGAAUACAGCAAAUGGCAAGCCAAUCUGUGAAUACCCAGGCAUUCUGGGUCUCGAGCACCCUGCCCAGGAAAGCCAGAGACCCCCUGGCUUCAUCAGGAGGGAAAUGACAAAUGGUCAGUGAGCAGAGUGAGGAAGAGGGGGGACAGAACAGAGACAGGGAAGAGUAGUUUGACCCUGAGGACCCUGGGUUUUGUACAUCUGGAUUAACUGGGUUUCUCUAACUCUUCAAGGUUUGGCCCAAAGGGGGUGUCAGGGAGGACCACACAGGCCACACCCUAACAGCUCCUUCUCCACUUCCCCAAGAAGGAAGCUGUGGGUGACAGGAACUUCCCUGUGGAAUCAGCACUCAAACCCAGACUCCAAAAGUGCUCUGCCUCUCCAAAAACCAUAUUAAGACUAAUCUCUGAUGUUCACACAGCUCUUUAUACGCAUAGGCUAUUUUUCAUUGCAAUAACCCAAAGGAGGAAGUCCCAGAAUAUGAUUCUUCCUUCUCAGCUGGUAUAAACAGGCAAGGCCUGGAGAGGAUGGCAAAAUAUCUGGAACUACACAUCCUUAGGAGAGAACCAAAGCUAGAAUAGAAAACUGAGUGUUUCCGUGAAAGCCCUGCUCUCACAACCCUGAGCUGUCCAUGGUCCAGCCUGCAAGGUAAACCUACAGCGCAGGGCUUUUCUCCCAGAGGAGCCUCCAGGGCCUGCUCCCCAGCUACUCUGAGGAUGGCUCCCUCUGGGGGACACUCAGAGAUAUAGUCUAUGUUCAGGGACCUGCAGCCCUGAGAUCAAG
This is a long non-coding RNA of Perognathus longimembris pacificus (Pacific pocket mouse), 1597 nucleotides long. RefSeq lists it as uncharacterized. NCBI's taxonomy places the organism in Eukaryota, Metazoa, Chordata, Mammalia, Rodentia, Heteromyidae. The record is from RefSeq and is a predicted model, not a curated record. The transcript has 3 exons.